RNAcentral lists this long non-coding RNA (690 nucleotides) under Citrus sinensis (sweet orange). Its description in RNAcentral is "long non-coding RNA (CSIN_LNC001056)". The record is from RNAcentral. Lineage: Eukaryota; Viridiplantae; Streptophyta; Magnoliopsida; Sapindales; Rutaceae.
UGGCACUCAAUAAUUUGUUGGCAAUAUUUGUAAAGAUUUAUUAUUUGAAUCUACAGUUGGUUGCUUCAUUCUAUAAAUAUCAAACGCUAGAACUCGCUAAAGCAACUUAAUUACUUUUGUGUUUUCAUAACGGUUCACCGGAAGCUAGAGAGAUCCUUUCUGAUUAAUUUGAAGAAUAUGGAGACUCCCUGCCCAGGUAUUUUGGCCAACUUCAGUUAAAUAUUGUUUAUAAUUCUUGUUUGAACUUAUGUAUUUAUGAAUAAGUUUUUUAAUAUAAAUUUUUCAGACAAGAGGAAUUGGUCAGAGGGGCACAUAUUAGAUGUCCGUUCGAGUAUUGCUGAUGAUGCUGCUACAAAUGAUAAUUUUGAUCUUCUCGUAGUUCCUCAAUACGGAAGAAAGCCCGACUACCCCGGUUAAGUGCAUGAAAUAGUUUUUUUUUUAAAAUUAAAUAAAAAACGGCCAAGGCGGAUGUACGGUACAGCAGUAAAUAAAAUUAAUGUAUAUGUAUGCUAUUGUGUUGAUUAAGUUAGUUUAUGCAUGUCGACUUAAUUAUGCUCUCUUCUUAAUCCUUUUCUAGAACAAACUUGACACAUCGGUUGUUCUAAAAGACGCAAUCUCUUUCAUCAGAAAUAUUACCUUUUGUUAUAGGCCUAAGAUGGUCCAAUUAGUCCCAUCCGUGCGAUAUCCUCG